RNAcentral lists this long non-coding RNA (424 nucleotides) under Rosa chinensis. RNAcentral describes it as "sRNA RchiOBHm_Chr3g0490861". Lineage: Eukaryota; Viridiplantae; Streptophyta; Magnoliopsida; Rosales; Rosaceae. The record is from RNAcentral.
AUGUUAUUGACUCUGGGUUUCGGAAAUUGGGAAUUGAGUUUUAUUAUAGUUUUGAUUCUGAGUUUGUUCUGUUUAUGCUUAAUUGAAGAGUUGGCUAUCUGCCGAGGCCUUUAAGUAUUGUAAUAGCAAUAUAAUUUUUUUUCCAAAUGUGGUUCAGUGGUGUGUUCAAAUGGUAGAGGAAGAAGAGGAGUAAUAGAUAUGAGUUUGGUUUGGAGAGUAGGGAUUGCAGGUUCGGAAAUUUGUGUUUUUUGGUGUUGUGUUCUUCUUCUUUUAGUUUUGUUUGUGCUGGGGUUAGAGAUAUAGGUAUUUGAGUGGAAUGGUUUUAUCAACUAGAUAAAUUAAUCCUCUUUGCUCUGUUUAUAUGUUUGUGAAGUAAAAUUGGUCGCAAGGAAAUCCAUAUUUUCUGGUUGAAGUUGCCUUUUUU